GUUUCACGAAAAAGGUACAUGUAAUUAUGGUUUAGCAGUUGUUAUUUUCAAAAAAAUUUACACUUAAUGGCUUAGCAGUUGUAUUUUUUUAGGCAUUUAAAGCAUAUAAUUUUUAUGCAUUUUGAAAGAGGGAUAGUUUGGUCAUCCUUCUGAAAAUUCGGCCCGAAUCUACGAAAUCCAAAAAUGCAGCCUACUUUUGCAAAAGCGCAAAACUAAUAGAUUUUUUAUGCAAAUUGGUGUUAAAAAAAAAUUGAUGAUCACUUCCCUAAAUUCACUCCUUCACUAUCUCCUACUAUUCCCUCUAUUUCUACCACUUUCUCCACCAUUCCCUCCACUUUCUCACCAUUCCCACCACUUUCUCCACCAUUCCCUCUACUUUCUCACCAUUCCCUCAACUUCUCCAUCACUCCCUCCACUUUCUCCAUCAUUUACUCCACUUCUCCAUCACUCCCUCAAGUUUCUCCACCAUUCCUUCCACUUUUCCUCCACUUCCUCCACUUCUCUAUCACUCCCUCCACUUCUCCACCAUUUACUUUUCUCUGCACCAUAAACCUCCACCACCCUCUAUCUAUAUAAA
This 577-nucleotide long non-coding RNA is filed under the name Ananas comosus (pineapple). RNAcentral describes it as "long non-coding RNA (ACOM_LNC010475)". Lineage: Eukaryota; Viridiplantae; Streptophyta; Magnoliopsida; Poales; Bromeliaceae. The record is from RNAcentral.